UCUAUAUAUAUUAAUAAAGGAGAUGAUUUGGGCUAUUUGUCUUUGAAUGGUGGAGCCAUUUUGCUUAUGUGGCAUUUAUUGGUUUAGUAUAGGAUGAUUUUGGGAGGGAAUCCAUCUCAAUACACAAUUUUUCUUCUUGGACGCGGGAUCCGGUUGAGGAUUCGGGUCACCCAGUAAUAAAAACGGAUCCCUUAUAUUCUUUGAACGCUUUCUUCCUUCAGACAUAUUUGUACGCUUCUUUUCCUAAACCCUAGAGAGCCUUCGUCUCCAUUUCCAUUCUCCAACUGCAUUCGGGUUUAAAGCAUUUGCAUACGAACGAUUGAGUUAUGUCUAACCUUCCUAAUACCAAAUCCUCUUUCAAUUAUAUUCAUUCUUCCUAAUCGGUUUAAUCCUCCCCAUCGAUCUAUGGAUUUUAUUGUUGAUUCCAUCUACGAAAAUGCUGAUAGAAACAAAUUCCGGCGAAAGCUAGGGUUCUGGAAAAUUUAGUAGUGAUCUGAAGUCAUCGUCACUGAUUUUACUUAAGGAAUCGGUUUAGUUGAUGAAAAUGCCAAUAGAAACAGAUUCCGGCGAAAGCUAGGGUUCCGGCGAAGUUAAUAGUGAUCUGGAUUCGUCGUCACUGAUUUUGCUUAAGGAAACAGCAUGCUCUUCUCUAUUUGUUUAGUUGAUAAAAAUGCAGAUAGAAACAAAUUCCGGCGAGAGCUAGGGUUCCGGCGAAGUUAG
Molecule: long non-coding RNA, 720 nt
Filed under: Helianthus annuus (common sunflower)
Lineage: Eukaryota; Viridiplantae; Streptophyta; Magnoliopsida; Asterales; Asteraceae
Description: sRNA HanXRQr2_Chr16g0725221
Source: RNAcentral